RNAcentral lists this ribosomal RNA (637 nucleotides) under uncultured Verrucomicrobiota bacterium. RNAcentral's name for it is "bacterial SSU rRNA". It matches the Rfam family "Bacterial small subunit ribosomal RNA", at positions 37 to 645 of the family's 1533-position model. Lineage: Bacteria; Pseudomonadati; Verrucomicrobiota. The record is from RNAcentral.
UGGCGGCGUGGAUAAGACAUGCAAGUCGGACGCUAAUUAGGGGGUAGCAAUAUUCCCUAGUUGGAGUGGCGCAAGGGUGCGUAACACGUGGGUAAUCUGCCGUGAAGUUUGGGAUAACUCGCUGAAAGGCGAGCUAAUACCGGAUGUGGAUGUUGGGGAGCAUUUUCUGGCAUCUAAAGCUGGGGACCGUAACAGGCCUGGCGCUUCACGAUGAGCCCGCGGCCUAUCAGCUAGUUGGUAAGGUAACGGCUUACCAAGGCUAAGACGGGUAGCUGGUCUGAGAGGACGACCAGCCACACUGGAACUGAGACACGGUCCAGACACCUACGGGUGGCAGCAGCCGAGAAUUUUUCACAAUGGGCGCAAGCCUGAUGGAGCGACGCCGCGUGGGGGAUGAAGGGUUUCGAUCCGUAAACCCCUGUCAUUUGCGAACAAACCUUAUGCAAGAAUACUGCAUGAGCUGAUUGUAGUGAAAGAGGAAGGGACGGCUAACUCUGUGCCAGCAGCCGCGGUAAUACAGAGGUCCCAAGCGUUGUUCGGAUUCACUGGGCGUAAAGGGUGCGUAGGUGGCCGUGGAAGUUUGGUGUGAAAGCUCGGAGCUUAACUCCGAAAAGUCAUCAAAUACUCUACGGCUGGA